AGUCAUAUGCUUGUCUCAAAGAUUAAGCCAUGCAUGUCUCAGUACAAGCCAUAUUAAGGUGAAACCGCGAAAGGCUCAUUAAAUCAGUUAUGGUUCCUUAGAUCGUMCCCACAUUUACUUGGAUAACUGUGGUAAUUCUAGAGCUAAUACAUGCAAACAGAGCUCCGACCGGAGACGGAAGKAGUGCUUUUAUUAGAUCAAAACCAAUCGGCGGCAAUUUUGUAUCCACUUGAUUGUUCGUCGCACUUUUUGGUGACUCUGAAUAACUUUUGGCUGAUCGCACGGUCUUGCACCGGCGACGCAUCUUUCAAAUGUCUGCCUUAUCAACUGUCGAUGGUAGGUUCUGCGCCUACCAUGGUUGUAACGGGUAACGGGGAAUUAGGGUUCGAUUCCGGAGAGGGAGCCUGAGAAACGGCUACCACAUCCAAGGAAGGCAGCAGGCGCGCAAAUUACCCACUCCCGGCACGGGGAGGUAGUGACGAAAAAUAACGAUACGGGACUCAUCCGAGGCCCCGUAAUCGGAAUGAGUACACUUUAAAUUCUUUCACAAAAAUCAAUUGGAGGGUAAGUCUGGUGCCAGCAGCCGCGGUAAUUCCAGCUCCAAUAGCGUAU
Molecule: ribosomal RNA, 612 nt
Filed under: Trechus hydropicus beutenmuelleri
Lineage: Eukaryota; Metazoa; Arthropoda; Insecta; Coleoptera; Carabidae
Description: SSU rRNA
Source: RNAcentral